CCUGCCGUAUGCAGGGGGAUAACAGUUAGAAAUGACUGCUAAUACCGCAUAAGCGCACAGUAUCGCAUGAUACAGUGUGAAAAACGAUAGUGGCAUACGAUGGACCCGCGUCUGAUUAGCUAGUUGGCGGGGUAACGGCCCACCAAGGCGACGAUCAGUAGCCGGCCUGAGAGGGUGAACGGCCACAUUGGAACUGAGACACGGUCCAAACUCCUACGGGAGGCAGCAGUGGGGGAUAUUGCACAAUGGGGGAAACCCUGAUGCAGCGACGCCGCGUGAGUGAAGAAGUAUUUCGGUAUGUAAAGCUCUAUCAGCAGGAAAGAUAAUGACGGUACCUGACUAAGAAGCACCGGCUAAAUACGUGCCAGCAGCCGCGGUAAUACGUAUGGUGCAAGCGUUAUCCGGAUUUACUGGGUGUAAAGGGAGCGCAGACGGCAUGGCAAGCCAGAUGUGAAAGGUGGGGGCUCAACCCCCAAGCUGCAUUUGGAGCUGUCAAGCUAGAGUAUCGGAGAGGUAAGCGGAAUUCCUAGUGUAGCGGUGAAAUGCGUAGAUAUUAGGAGGAACACCAGUGGCGAAGGCGGCUUACUG
Molecule: ribosomal RNA, 588 nt
Filed under: uncultured bacterium
Lineage: Bacteria
Description: bacterial SSU rRNA
Rfam family: Bacterial small subunit ribosomal RNA
Source: RNAcentral